This 809-nucleotide ribosomal RNA is filed under the name uncultured Pseudomonadota bacterium. RNAcentral describes it as "bacterial SSU rRNA". It matches the Rfam family "Bacterial small subunit ribosomal RNA", at positions 8 to 802 of the family's 1533-position model. The record is from RNAcentral. Lineage: Bacteria; Pseudomonadati; Pseudomonadota.
AGAGUUUGAUCCUGGCUCAGAUUGAACGCUGGCGGCGUGCUUAACACAUGCAAGUCGUGCGAGAACGGCCUUUUCGGAGGCUUAGUAGAGCGGCGCACGGGUGAGUAACGCGUGGAUAUCUACCUCGAUGAUUGGGAUAACAGUGGGAAACCGCUGCUAAUACCGGAUACGCUUCAUUUAAUCGUGAGGGAAAGGUGGCCUCUGCAUAUGCUACCGCAUCGAGAUGAGUCCGCGUCCCAUUAGCUUGUUGGCGGGGUAACGGCCCACCAAGGCGACGAUGGGUAGCUGGUCUGAGAGGAUGAUCAGCCACACUGGGACUGGAACACGGCCCAGACUCCUACGGGAGGCAGCAGUGGGGAAUAUUGCGCAAUGGGGGAAACCCUGACGCAGCGACGCCGUGUGAGGGAAGAAGGCCUUCGGGUCGUAAACCUCUGUCAGGAGGGAAGAAGUGCGUGGAGUCGAAUAGGCUUUACGUUUGACGGUACCUCCAGAGGAAGCACCGGCCAACUCCGUGCCAGCAGCCGCGGUAAUACGGAGGGUGCGAGCGUUAAUCGGAAUCACUGGGCGUAAAGCGUGCGUAGGCGGCGAUGCAAGUCAGGUGUGAAAUCCCACGGCUCAACCGUGGAACUGCACUUGAAACUGCAUUGCUUGAGUCCUGGAGAGGGUGGCGGAAUUCCCGGUGUAGGAGUGAAAUCCGUAGAUAUCGGGAGGAACACCAGUGGCGAAGGCGGCCACCUGGACAGUGACUGACGCUGAGGUACGAAAGUGUGGGGAGCAAACAGGAUUAGAUACCCUGGUAGUCCACACCG